GAAAAUAGGUGCCCGUACCGCAAACCGACACAGGUAGUCAAGAUGAGAAUUCUAAGGUGAGCGAGCGAACUCUCGUUAAGGAACUCGGCAAAAUGACCCCGUAACUUCGGGAGAAGGGGUGCUCUUUAGGGUUAACGCCCAGAAGAGCCGCAGUGAAUAGGCCCAAGCGACUGUUUAUCAAAAACACAGGUCUCUGCUAAACCGUAAGGUGAUGUAUAGGGGCUGACGCCUGCCCGGUGCUGGAAGGUUAAGAGGAGUGGUUAGCUUCUGCGAAGCUACGAAUCGAAGCCCCAGUAAACGGCGGCCGUAACUAUAACGGUCCUAAGGUAGCGAAAUUCCUUGUCGGGUAAGUUCCGACCCGCACGAAAGGCGUAACGAUUUGGGCACUGUCUCAACGAGAGACUCGGUGAAAUCAUAGUACCUGUGAAGAUGCAGGUUACCCGCGACAGGACGGAAAGACCCCGUGGAGCUUUACUGUAGCCUGAUAUUGAAAUUCGGCACAGCUUGUACAGGAUAGGUAGGAGCCUUUGAAACGUGAGCGCUAGCUUACGUGGAGGCGCUGGUGGGAUACUACCCUAGCUGUGUUGGCUUUCUAACCCGCACCACUUAUCGUGGUGGGAGACAGUGUCAGGCGGGCAGUUUGACUGGGGCGGUCGCCUCCUAAAAGGUAACGGAGGCGCUCAAAGGUUCCCUCAGAAUGGUUGGAAAUCAUUCAUAGAGUGUAAAGGCAUAAGGGAGCUUGACUGCGAGACCUACAAGUCGAGCAGGGUCGAAAGACGGACUUAGUGAUCCGGUGGUUCCGCAUGGAAGGGCCAUCGCUCAACGGAUAAAAGCUACCCCGGGGAUAACAGGCUUAUCUCCCCCAAGAGUUCACAUCGACGGGGAGGUUUGGCACCUCGAUGUCGGCUCAUCGCAUCCUGGGGCUGUAGUCGGUCCCAAGGGUUGGGCUGUUCGCCCAUUAAAGCGGUACGCGAGCUGGGUUCAGAACGUCGUGAGACAGUUCGGUCCCUAUCCGUCGUGGGCGUAGGAAAUUUGAGAGGAGCUGUCCUUAGUACGAGAGGACCGGGAUGGACAUACCUCUGGUGUACCAGUUGUCGUGCCAACGGCAUAGCUGGGUAGCUAUGUGUGGACGGGAUAAGUGCUGAAAGCAUCUAAGCAUGAAGCCCCCCUCAAGAUGAGAUUUCCCAACUUCGGUUAUAAGAUCCCUCAAAGAUGAUGAGGUUAAUAGGUUCGAGGUGGAAGCAUGGUGACAUGUGGAGCUGACGAAUACUAAUCGAUCGAAGACUUAAUCAA
RNAcentral lists this ribosomal RNA (1293 nucleotides) under Staphylococcus aureus. RNAcentral's name for it is "partial 23S ribosomal RNA". It matches the Rfam family "Bacterial large subunit ribosomal RNA", at positions 1630 to 2925 of the family's 2925-position model. Lineage: Bacteria; Bacillati; Bacillota; Bacilli; Caryophanales; Staphylococcaceae. The record is from RNAcentral.